Molecule: ribosomal RNA, 926 nt
Filed under: uncultured Gammaproteobacteria bacterium
Lineage: Bacteria; Pseudomonadati; Pseudomonadota; Gammaproteobacteria
Description: bacterial SSU rRNA
Rfam family: Bacterial small subunit ribosomal RNA
Source: RNAcentral
UCGAGCGCCCGCAUCGUUAGCGGCGGACGGGUGUGUAAUGCGUGGGAAUCUACCUCGUAGUGGGGGACAACCCGGGGAAACUCGGGCUAAUACCGCAUACGUUCUAUGGAAAAAAGGGGGCCUCUGCUUGCAAGCUCUCGCUAUGGGAUGAGCCCACGUCCGAUUAGCUAGUUGGUGGGGUAAGGGCCUACCAAGGCGACGAUCGGUAGCUGGUCUGAGAGGGUGACCAGCCACACUGGGCCUGAAACCCGGCCCAGACUCCUACGGGAGGCACCUAUGGGGAAUAUUGAACAAUGGUCGCAAGCCUGAUCCAGCAAUGCCACGUGUGUGAAGAAGGCCUGCGGGUUGUAAAGSACUUUCAUUGGGGAGCAAAAGCCUGGAGUGAAUAUCCCUGGGUCUUGACGUUACCUACAGAAGAAGCACCGGCUAACUCCGUGCCAGCAGUCCCGGUCAUACGGAGGGUGCAAGCGUUAAUCGGAAUUACUGGUCGUAAUGCGCGCGUAGGCGGUUGGAUAAGUCAGCUGUGAGAGCCCCGUGYUCAACCUGGGAACUGCAGUUGAUACUGGCCGACUUGAGUAUGGUAGAGGGGGGUGGAAUACCCGGAGUAACGUUGAAGUGCAUAGAUGUCGGGAGGAACACUAGUGGCGAACGCGGCCCCCUGGACCAAUACUGACGCUGAUGUGUGAAAGUGAGGUGAGCAGACAAGAUUAGAUACCCUGGUAGUACACGCUGUAAACGAUGUCUACUAGCCUUCGGAUCCAUUUAUGGGUUUGAUGGCGCAGCUAAUGCGAUAAGUCGACCCCCUGAGUCAGUACGCCCCGUAAAGUUCAGACUCACAGGUAAUUGACGGGCAGCACGCCACAAGCGGUGCCAGCAUGUUGGUUUUAAUUCCUGAAGCAGUUGCUAAAGAAUGCUAACCUUGAGCU